This 469-nucleotide ribosomal RNA is filed under the name uncultured organism. RNAcentral describes it as "partial 16S ribosomal RNA". It matches the Rfam family "Bacterial small subunit ribosomal RNA", at positions 330 to 796 of the family's 1533-position model. The record is from RNAcentral.
CGUACACUCCUACGGGAGGCAGCAGUGAGGAAUAUUGGACAAUGGGUGGAAGCCUGAUCCAGCCAUCCCGCGUGCAGGAAGACGGCCCUAUGGGUUGUAAACUGCUUUUAUCUGGGGAUAAACCUACUUACGUGUAAGUAGCUGAAGGUACCAGAAGAAUAAGCACCGGCUAACUCCGUGCCAGCCGCCGCGGUAAUACGGAGGGUGCAAGCGUUAUCCGGAUUUAUUGGGUUUAAAGGGUCCGUAGGCGGACUGAUAAGUCAGUGGUGAAAUCCGACAGCUUAACUGUCGAACUGCCAUUGAUACUGUUAGUCUUGAGUAAGGUUGAAGUGGCUGGAAUAAGUAGUGUAGCGGUGAAAUGCAUAGAUAUUACUUAGAACACCAAUUGCGAAGGCAGGUCACUAAGUCUUAACUGACGCUGAUGGACGAAAGCGUGGGGAGCGAACAGGAUUAGAUACCCCGGUAGUCC